Molecule: ribosomal RNA, 254 nt
Filed under: uncultured bacterium
Lineage: Bacteria
Description: partial 16S ribosomal RNA
Rfam family: Bacterial small subunit ribosomal RNA
Source: RNAcentral
UACGUAGGGGGCGAGCGUUGUCCGGAUUCAUUGGGCGUAAAGAGCUCGUAGGCGGUUCAGUAAGUCGGGUGUGAAAGCUCCGAGCUCAACUCGGAGAGGCCACCCGAUACUGCUGUGACUCGAGUCCAGUAGAGGAGCGUGGAACUCCUGGUGUAGCGGUGAAAUGCGCAGAUAUCAGGAAGAACACCGGUAGCGAAGGCGGCGCUCUGGGCUGGUACUGACGCUGAGGAGCGAAAGCGUGGGUAGCAAACAGG